This 532-nucleotide long non-coding RNA is filed under the name Mytilus galloprovincialis (Mediterranean mussel). Lineage: Eukaryota; Metazoa; Mollusca; Bivalvia; Mytilida; Mytilidae. The record is from RNAcentral.
GUUUAUUUUCCAUGUAUGAGUUUGAAUGUCCCUCUGGUAUCUUUCGUCCCUCUUUUUUUGUACAUUUAAUAACAAGGCUGUUGGUUUUCUGUUUGAAUUGUCUCAAAAUUUGUCAUUUGGUAGGGCCUUUUAUAGCUGAAUAUACAUAAGGGAAUUGCUAAUUGUUGAAGACUGUAAAGUGACCUACAUUUGUUUAUUUCUGUGUCAUUUGCUCUCUUGUGUAAAGUGUUUUCAUUGGCAAUCAUAUCACAUCUUCUUUUUUAAAAAUACCUGUGCAAACUGGAAAUAAACAGAAAUAUACAAUUAUUUUUCACCGUAGGUGUAGUGUGAACAUGUUGCCUUUUCCAAUGUUAGUCAAAAAGUCAACUGUUUACAGAACAAAACAUUUUUUUUCAUAAUUUUUCAUACCAAAAAAGUUGUGGUAAAUAUAAGUUGCUCAGUUGAUUAAGAGAAAAUGUUACUCUAUUUGUUUCUAAAGAAAAGUGUGGCACCAUGGUGACCAUACUGUGUCUAUGAUAUGCAAAAUUGUAAA